ACCGGUACAAGGUCAAUACAUUACCGGUAACAAAAGCUCCAGAUUUUCAAUCUCGCAUUGUUUCAACUCUAAUUCGCGCCGAGCAAUACUAAAACCUUUCUAACCCCUUUGGAACUCAACUUUAACCCUUCCAACCUUGUUGGAAUAUUAAAUGGAGUUUGUCCAACUAUUUCUUUCAGACACUUUAGUCAAUUUGGCUAAAGUUCGCUAUACUCUACCGAGGUAUCGGUAUAUUACAUUUAUCUUAUCCGGAAGCAUGCGAGGCACUGCCCUAAGGCGUAUUC
Molecule: long non-coding RNA, 284 nt
Filed under: Ananas comosus (pineapple)
Lineage: Eukaryota; Viridiplantae; Streptophyta; Magnoliopsida; Poales; Bromeliaceae
Description: long non-coding RNA (ACOM_LNC010078)
Source: RNAcentral